UUGGCGAAAUCGGACGCGGAAUCACGCCGCAGCCUUUGAACGGCCGAAACUUUGAAAACAAACAAUUUUCCAAACAAACACGGCUGAAACACGGGUUCGAUUCCCGUAGGGGUCACCA
Molecule: transfer RNA, 118 nt
Filed under: Sphingobium lignivorans
Lineage: Bacteria; Pseudomonadati; Pseudomonadota; Alphaproteobacteria; Sphingomonadales; Sphingobiaceae
Description: tRNA-OTHER
Source: RNAcentral